AGGUCGGCAGUCCUGUGGGUGAGAACAGCUCAUUGAUGAGAGGUCGGCAGUCCUGUGGGUGACAACAGCUCGGUGAUGAGAGGUCGGCAGUCCUGUGGGUGACAACAGCUCGGUGAUGAGAGGUCGGCAGUCCUGUGGGUGACAACAGCUCAUUGAUGAGAGGUCGGCAGUCCUGUGGGUGACAACAGCUCAUUGAUGAGAGGUCGGCAGUCCUGUGGGUGACAACAGCUCAUUGAUGAAAGGUCGGCAGUCCUGUGGGUGACAACAGCUCAUUGAUGAGAGGUCGGCAGUCCUGUGGGUGACAACAGCUCAUUGAUGA
This is a long non-coding RNA of Oncorhynchus keta (chum salmon), 319 nucleotides long. RefSeq lists it as uncharacterized. The record is from RefSeq and is a predicted model, not a curated record. The transcript is spliced from 3 exons. NCBI's taxonomy places the organism in Eukaryota, Metazoa, Chordata, Actinopteri, Salmoniformes, Salmonidae.